AAAGCUGUCUCAAUGUCGUUUCCUCCCGUGCCGCCCAUAAAUCCGCCAUAAUGUUGGUAAGAUGAAUGCAUUUCUGCACCUGCUGGUAGCAGCAGAAGCAGGACCGUAAUACAAAGCACAGCCAUUAAUUGUAAGCUUUGAGCAGAUGACAUUUUUUUUCUCUUCUGCCACGACAUUUACGAUGUGUAAAAUUAAUUAUUGCCAAUUGCAGAUUGAGGUGGUUGCUGCUUGUGGGUUUGUACGGUGCACUGACUAACGUAGGUGCAGACAGAAAUGCCUGGCCUUGGUGUUUGGGGAGGCCAGAAGACUUACUUUGACACUACAUGUUAUAACACGUAAGCUUAUCAACGAGUUGUGAUCGGACGAGUUUCUUUUCACAAUAAUGUCGUGUACUAGAUCCCUUUGGAUUGUGUUGAAUCGUAACGCAUUCAGCUCAACCCACGCUUGUCAAAGAGGGAGAAGAACAGCAAGAUCUAAAAUGAAACACCUUACUUCCUAGAAGGGCGACAGAAAGGCAUUCACGUGGGCAUGAAGGUACCAACACCGCAAUGUCACCGAGGUAUUCGUUCACAUAUGUUUCGUUUUCCAUACCUGAAAUGCAUACAGGAAAGCAGCAAGCAACUCCGAUGCUACUCCAUGUGUGUGCAAGACCUGUGGUCGCCUUUCAAAGCCUGACGAUGAAUUCCUCACUCGCCCUUUUUCGCCGGGGUAUUCCCUUGGGGUCUGGGGCUCGCUGUAAUACCUACUACUACUACUAUCACCUGGCAAAAGGGUUUUAAGUGUAGUGUCGCAUAUGCGUGCUAGCUUACGUAGCCAUGGAAUGUUUUAAAUCUGGGCAGGGUUCUCCGUACAAAUGCAUGGGACGACACACGGCCUCGCUCCGCAGGCAGGAGGUGGAAAAUGCAGGACAUACGCAACACGGCACGGGUGUAGCGUACCCAGUUACCCACGCACGCACGCAUCAUCUGCAUGUGUGUAUGUCGUACCCCGAUGAGCAAUAAAUAUAGCUUUGUCCUGUUUGCAGGGAGAAGCAGUCCCUUGAAGAGUCCGCCCGCAGUCAGCCCGUAGACACCCCGUUAGUGAGGGGUAGUUGGUUUGAGGCUUAGGAGUGCCUCUGGGUUUAAGCGUUCAAGCGUUUCAAGCGUUCAAGCGUUCUUUUUGAGGUUUAAAAAUUGCCGUCCCGCUGCCUAAGGCCGCGGGCGGGGCUCAUAUCAUGAAGGACACGAGGGCCGCCGUACAUUCUUGCGUGGAUAGUUGUGCGUUGGUUUAGUUGAAUUGAAUUGAAUUGAAUUGAACUGUUACAGGGUGGGAGGCUUCUGGGCCAUUCGAACACAUUGUCAUUACUACGAUGUAUCAUACCAUACCGCACCAUCCACCAUUACCACCACUGUACUACGCCAUAUGAACUGCAAGUCCAAGGCGGUUGAUCCUGCCUUCUAGGAUCCCUCCUCAACCGUCCACCCGGACAUCCGCAGAGACAGAGGGUUCAACUAUCGCCACCAAUCCAGCGUGCGAAUCACGAUUUAUCAACUGUGACCUCAACUCCACACCCCAGCAACUAGCCAUUCCCGAUGGGAUAACCUCAGGAAUCGAACAUAGGACCUUGAACUGUAUAAGACAGUACUAUCGACCAGACCAGACCAGGUUUAGUGUUUACUUGCUCCCAACAUGUGUAUGGGUAUCUGUGUGUGUUACAUCUUGGAGUCCAUUACUCUUCGCAGGUGUAACGCAUGGGCUCGUAUGAACCCUGAUGGGACCCAAGGGCUCCGGUUGCUUUCUCAAACGGCAACCCUAUCCGGUGCUUGUUUUCAGCCAUCUUAAUGCUAAUUUGGUUGCUUCCCAUCCGUGGGGAAAUCGUGUGGUACUUCGGGCAGCCUCUCGUGGUUCCAUGACGACGUGAACUGGUGUACAUAUUACGGCACACAUAUCGUCUAUAACUACGCGCUACAGGGCUACCCUACCAUCCAGAGAGAUUUUUUCAGCAGCCAGCUUUUACAGAGGACAAUAGAAGGACAUAGGCAUUUAUAUGCAAGGUCCCACCAAGUCCUAUGCCUCGGUAAUUGCCCAUGACAGAGCUCUCAUCCCUUGUUUGAACACGGGGUGUUAAUAACCUGGUGGCGAUGAACUGCUCGGGGAAGUCACCCGUUGCCCUGAUGUGCUCCAAAAGGGUGUGCGUGUAGGAUGAUAGGCACUAGCUGGUUUAUUUCUGUCCUAUCCUCUGCAGCAUCGGUGCUCAACACGAACCAACACCCCAACGGUAGAGAGCGAUGCCGUACGACAGGCACACGUCAUCCGGCAUGCCUCUCCACCAAUAACUCGUGAGCAAAAGCCAAAUGGUGCUCCGUACUCAAAAGUUCCCAGUUUCGUCUUGCGCUUGCUUGAUGAUCUCCAUCCUCUCAGGCACGUUCCGGGAAGGCAAUGUGGACAGGCAGGGCCCUCUCAGUCGCUUGGAGGGCUCCCGACCCACAGCGUUGAGCAGUAGGCCGCCCGUGGUAAGGGGGUUGGUUAGUUAGUAGUUCGUUUCUGAAGCGCCAAAAACGCUGCCGUGUGUGGCCCCU
RNAcentral lists this long non-coding RNA (2558 nucleotides) under Volvox carteri. RNAcentral's name for it is "long non-coding RNA (VCAR_LNC003282)". Lineage: Eukaryota; Viridiplantae; Chlorophyta; Chlorophyceae; Chlamydomonadales; Volvocaceae. The record is from RNAcentral.